UUUUUUUUUCCUUUUUUUCUCUUUUUCUCUUUUUUUAUUUUUUUAUUUGGCAUUUCUCUUUUUUUAGCCUUUCUCUUUUUUUGGGACAAUGCUCUAUUAAUGAUGAUCAUCACACUUCUAUUUAUUUACAAUUCAAUGAUUACAACUCGAUACUAGAAAAAAAUAUGACUCUAUUAUGAGUGCCUCCGGCGGUGUACCGGGAUGAGCAACGAAUCAAGAGUGACAUGUAUGAUAAAAUAUGCAUGGUGGCUUUGCCACAAAUACGAUGUCAACUACAUGAUCAUGCAAGGCAAUAUGACAAUGAUGAAGCGUGUCAUAAUAAAUGGAAUGGUGGAAAGUUGCAUGGCAAUAUAUCUCGAAAUGGCUAUGGAAAUGCCAUAAUAGGUAGGUAUGGUGGCUGUUUUGAGGAAGAUAUAAGGAGGUUUAUGUGUGAUAGAGCGUAUCGUAUCACGGGGUUUGGAUGCACUGGCAAAGUUUGCACCAACUCUCGAGGUGAGAAAGGGCAAUGCAUGGUACCGAAGAGGCUAGCAAUGAUGGAAGGGUGAGAGUGCGUAUAAUACAUGGACUCAACAUUAGUCAUAAAGAACUCACAUACUUAUUGCAAAAAUCUGCAAGUCAUCAAAAACAAAGUACUACACGCAUGCCCCUAGGGGAAGGGUUGGUAGGAGUUAACCAUCGCGCGAUCCCGACCUCCACACAAAGGAUGACAAUCAAAGAAAUACCUCAUGCUUUAAAUUUGUCACGCAACGUUUACCAUACGUGCAUGCUACGGGACUUGCAAACUUCAAAACAAGUAUUUCUCAAAUUCACAAUUACUCAACUAGCACAACUCUAAUAUUACCAUCUUCAUAUCUCAAAACAAUCAUCAAGUAUCAAACUUCUCAUAGUAUUCAAUGCACUCUAUAUGGAAGUUUUUGUUAUACCCAUCUUGGAUGCCAUCAUAUUAGGACUAGUUUUAUAGCCAAAGCAAAUUACCAUGCUGUUUAAGACUCUCAAAAUAUUAUAAGUGAAGCAUGAGAGUUCAUCUAUUUCUUCAAAAAUAAAACUACCAUAGUGCUCUAAAAAGAUAUAAGUGAAGCACUAGAGCAAACGACAAACUACUCAAAAAGAUAUAAGUGAAGAUCAAUGAGUAGUUGAAUAAUUAUGUAACUAUGUGAAGACUCUCUCUCCUUUAAGAAUUUCAGAUCUUGGGAUAUUAUUCAAACAGCAAUCAAAACAAAAUAAAACGACAUUUCAAGGAUAGCACUCAUCAUGUGAAGAAGCAAAAACUUAGGCUCAACCGAUACUAACCGAUAAUUGUUGAAGAAGAAAGGUGGGAUGCCUACCGGGGCAUCCCCAAGCUUAGAUGUUUGAGACUUCUCGAAAUAUUAUCUUGGGGUGCCUUGGGCAUCCCCAAGCUUGAGCUUUUGUGUCUCCUUAAUUCCUCUCAUAUCACGGUUUCCUUAAUCUCGAAAGCUUCAUCCACACCAAACUCAACAAGAACUCGUGAGAUAAGUUAGUAUAAACCAAUGCAAAAACCUUAUCAUUUUCUACUGUAACAAAUCACUAAAAUUAUUAUUCAACAUUGCAUACUAAAUGCCUCUGCAUAUUUAAUACUCCUAUCCUCAAAUAGAAUCAUUAAAUAAGCAAACAUAUGCAAACAAUGCAAACAUAACAGCAAUCUGCCAAAACAGUACAGUCUGUAAAGAAUGCAAGAUUCAUCAUACUUACCUAACUCCAAACAUUAUGAAAUUCUUCCACACUGUAGAAAAUUUAUCAGAGCUUAAAAAGUUUCAACAUUUUAUCAUAUUCUGGCUUUUCUAGGGAAUUUUUGCAAUAGCGAUAAACUUUCUGUUUUGAAACAGCAACAUGUAUACUUGCAAAAUAAGCAUGGGAAAGGCUAUCCUUCACAUUUUUAUUGAAAAUAAAGAUGCAAAACAUUAUUAUAAAUAACAUCAAACAAAUACUAACAAAAUAAAAUGACGCUCCAAGCAAAACACAUAUCAUGUGGUGAAUAAAAAUAUAGCUCCAAGUAAAGUUACCGAUGAACGAAGACGAAAGAGGGGAUGCCUUCCGGGGCAUCCCCAAGCUUAGGCUCUUGAUUGUCCUUAAAUAUUACCUUGGGGUGCCUUGGGAAUCCCCAAGCUUAGGCUCUUGCCACUCCUUAUUCCAUAGUCCAUCGAAUCUUUACCCAAAACUUGAAAACUUCACAACACAAAACUCAACAGAAAACUCGUAAGCUCCGUUAGUAUAAGAAGAUAAAACCACCACUUAGGUACUGUUGUGAACUCAUUCUAAAUUCAUAUUGGUGUCAUAUCUACUGUAUUCCAACUUUUCUAUGGUUCAUACCCUCUGAUACUACUCAUAGAUUCAUCAAAAUAAGCAAACAACACAUAGAAAACAGAAUCUGUCAAAAACAGAACAGUCUGUAGCAAUCUGUAACUUUCGAAUCCUUCUGUAACUUCAAAAAUCCUGAGAAAUUAGGAAAUCCUAAGCAAUUUGUUUAUUAAUCUUCUUAAAAAAGAAUCAACUGAAACGCACGUUCUUGUGAUUUAUGAAAAUUAUUUUCAUGCGCGCAAAAGUUUCUGUUUUUCAGCAAGAUCAAAUUAACUAUCACCGUAAGCUAUCCUAAAGGUCUUACUUGGCACUUUAUUGAAACAAAAGCUAUAAAACAUUAUUACUACAGUAGCAUAAUCAUGUGAACACAAAAAAACAGUAAAGUUAAAUAUUGGUUUGUCUCCCAACAAGCGCUUUUCUUUAUUGCCUUUUUACCUAGGCAUGAUGAUUUCAAUGAUGCUCACACAAAAGAUAAGAAUUGAAACGUAAAGAGAGCAUCAUGAAGAAUAUGACAAGCACAUUUAAGUCUAACCCACUUCCUAUGCAUAGGGAUUUUGUGAGCAAACAACUUAUGGGAACAAUAAUCAACUAGCAUAGGAAGGCAAAACAAGCAUAACUUUAAAACUUUAAGCACAUAGAGAGGAAACUUGAUAUUAUUGCAAUUCCUACAAGCAUAUAUUCCUCCCUCAUAAUAAUUUUCAGUAGCAUCACGAAUGAAUUCAAAAAUAUAACUAUCACAUAAAGCAUUCUUUUCAUGAUCUACUUGCAUAGAAAUUUUACUACUCUCCACAUAAGCAAAUUUAUUCUCAUCAAUAGUAGUGGGAGCAAACUCAACAAAAUAACUAUCAUGUGAAGCAUAAUCCAAUUGAAAAUUAAAAUCAAGAUGACAAGUUUCAUGGUUAUCAUUAUUCUUUAUUGCAUACGUGUCAUCACAAUAAUCAUCAUAGAUAGGAGGCAUGCUUUCAUCAUAAUAAAUUUGCACAUCAAAACUUGGGGGACUAAAAAUAUCAUCUUCAUCAAACAUAGCAUCCCCAAGCUUGUGGCUUUGCAUAUCAUUAGCAUCAUGGAUAUUCAAAGAAUUCAUACUAACAACAUUGCAAUCAUGCUCAUCAUUCAAAUAUUUAGUGCCAAAUAUUCUAAUGCAUUCUUCCUCUAGCAAUUGAGCACAAUUAUCGGAAUCCUUAUUUUCACGGAAGACAUUAAAGAGAUGAAGCAUAUGAGGCACCCUCAAUUCCAUUUUUUUGUAAUUUUCAUUAAUAGACCAAACUAGUGAUAAAACAAGAAACUAAAAGAUUCGAUCGCAAGAUCUAAAGAUAUACCUUCAAGCGCUCACCUCCCCGGCAACGGCGCCAGAAAAGAGCUUGAUGUCUACUACACAACCUUCUUCUUGUAGACGUUGUUGGGCCUCCAAGUGCAGAGGUUUGUAGGACAGUAGCAAAUUUCCCUCAAGUGGAUGACCUAAGGUUUAUCAAUCCGUGGGAGGCGUAGGAUGAAGAUAGUCUCUCUCAAGCAACCCUGCAACCAAAUAACAAAGAGUCUCUUGUGUCCCCAACACACCCAAUACAAUGGGAAAUUGUAUAGGUGCACUAGUUCGGCGAAGAGAUGGUGAUACAAGUACAAUAUGGAUGGUAUAUAUAGCAUUUUGUAAUCUGAAAAUAUAAAAACAGAAAGGUAACUAAUGGUAAAAGUGAGCGUAAACGGUAUUGCAAUGCUAGGAAAUAAGGCCUAGGGUUCAUACUUUCACUAGUGCAAGUUCUCUCAACAAUAAUAACAUAAUUGGAUCAUAUAACUAUCCCCUCAACAUGCAACAAAGAGUCACUCCAAAGUCACUAAUAGCGGAGAACAAACGAAGAGAUUAUUGUAGGGUACGAAACCACCUCGAAGUUAUUCUUUCUGAUCGAUCUAUUCAAGAGUCCGUAGUAAAAUAACACAAAGCUAUUCUUUCUGUUCGAUAUAUCCUAGAGUUCGUACUAGAAUAACACCUUAAGAAAUCAACCAAAACCCUAAUGUCACCUAGAUACUCCAAUGUCAUCUCAAGUAUCCGUGGGUAUGAUUAUACGAUAUGCAUCACACAAUCUCAGAUUCAUCUAUUCAACCAACACAAAGAACUUUAAAGAGUGCCCCAAAGUUUCUACCAGAGAGUCAAGACGAAAACGUGUGCCAACCCCUAUGCAUAAGUUCACAAGGUCACUGAACCCACAAGUUGAUCACCAAAACAUACAUCAAGUAGAUCACGUGAAUAUCCCACUGUCACCACAGAUAAACACAUGCAAGACAUACAUCAAGUGUUCUCAAAUCCGUAAAGACUCAAUCCGAUAAGAUAACUUCAAAGGGAAAAUUCAAUCCAUUACAAGAGAGCAGAGGGGGAGAAACAUCAUAAGAUCCAACUAUAGUAGCAAAGCUCGCGGUACAUCAAGAUCGUGCCAAAUCAAGAACACGAGAGAGAGAGAUCAAACACAUAGCUACUGGUACAUACCCUCAGCCCCGAGGGUGAACUACUCCCUCCUCGUCAUGGAGAGCGCCGGGAUGAUGAAGAUGGCCACCGGUGAGGGAUCCCCCCUCCGGCAGGGUGCCGGAACAGGGUCCCGAUUGGUUUUUGCUGGCUACAGAGGCUUGCGGCGGCGGAACUCCCGAUCUAGGUUAUUUUUUGGAGGUUUAUGUAUUUAUAGGAAUUUUUGGCAUAGGUCUCAUGUCAGGGGGGUCUCCGAGUCGUCCACGAGGCAGGGGCCCACGCCCAGGGGGGUAGGGCGCACCCUCCACCCUCGUGGACAGCUCGGGACUCUUCUGGCCCAACUCUUUUACUUCGGGGGCUUCUUUUGGUCCAUAAAAAAUCAUCAAAAAUUGGCACGUCAAUUGGACUCCGUUUGGGAUUCCUUUUUUGUAAAACUCAAAAACAAGGAAAAAACAGAAACUGGCACUGGGCUCUAGGUUAAUAGGUUAGUCCCAAAAAUCAUAUAAAAUAGCAUAUAAAUGCAUAUAAAACAUCUAAUAUGGAUAAUAUAAUAGCAUGGAACAAUCAAAACUUAUAGAUACGUUGGAGACGUAUCGAGUAGCGUUUGGUCGGCUCAAAGCAAGUAUGUCACCAUCCUGAGUACAUGCGCCAGCCCAAGUCUUAGGACAUAGAACGUAUGUUGUACUACAGACACACAAAUGACCUAUCACUGUGCCUCAUAGAAUGUAUGUCUGUCUGACUCAGACCUUAUCUCGACUCGGAUCCGACUAUGUCGAAUCCGACCAGAUCCUUCUGAUUCCAUAUUAUCCGGCUAGCAUCCAAUGCUCCAUGGCCAGUGAGACCGAGCCAUCCACCGUGUCAUAUGCUAGUCUAGUUGGUUGCGCGUCCACAUAGCCCUCUCGACUAGGGAACUUUUAGGACAGUCAUCAUACAAUGCAUAAUUGCACAAACAAGUCACGCACUUGUUGACACACAUCAUUGAUAAUGUCCAAGGACUAUCUUUAUUCAUAAACACAUAAAAAAUAUCAUCAUACAUGAUUGACUCUAGGGCAUAUCUCCAACAUAGUGAAGGAUGACGACUGACAUAGCGCCCUUCGCUGGGUCAGGAAUCAGCGUCUUCAACUCCUUUGGUGUCACCUUCUUCACCACAGCAUCCGACUCUUUCUGCAUGUCUGCCAUGCUGUUGAAGUUCGAGCAGACUUCCAUCGUGUUCUCGAACUUGGUGCGGUCACCGAGCGAGCACCCUAGGAAGAAAGGUGAGCGAGCACCUGAGGAAGAAAGCCCUCCAUCCAAUGCCCCAAGGGAAGGGGUUGGGGAUGAGGUUGGAGCUGUUGCUGGAGUUCAUGGCGAUGGAUAGGAGGAACAGUGAGAGACAGAGAGACAACUGAGUGAGAUGGUGGGUAAGUGGUGACUGUGAGGAUGGGUAAAUAAAGGGGUUAAGGAUGAUAGGUUUUAAUGGCGAUUGACAUGGGAACUUUCUGCUCUUCGUAAUGCAGAUCGACAUAGAGAACAAGGGCAAGGAUGUGGUUGUCGGCGUUCUGGGAACGGGGGUCCCUAGACUUGCCUGCCUGCGGCCCGCGGCGUGGCUCCACUAGGAGCCUGGUACGACCCAUCUUCACCAGCAAGCACUCAAGACCCUCGCGAGGGGCCAAGCCUCGCGAGGCGGGUGACACAAGACCUCCUCAGGGGUAGCCUCACUAGGCUGGCUUGCGAGGAGCAGAGAGACCAAGGUGAGGGGCACCUCAUGAGGUUCCCGUGACGUGAGCCAUGACGACCAAGGCCAGGCGGGCGCCAGUGGGCGCAGAGUACUAGUUUCCUCUUUGGUGCUAAAGGAGCAGGUGCAAGCGAGGAGUCCCGAGGCGUCAGGCAAAGGUUUCCAUAUCGGUGCAACGAGACCAAGACGAGCAGGACGGAAGUGUCGGGGAUAUACCCCGCGGUAUGACCCGGCCGGAGAUAUGACCCGGCCGGGAAUUGGUGUUUCAUUGGUAAGCCGGCAGAUGAUAAGUCAGACGGUAACCCGGCAGAUGAUAAGCCAGAUGAUAAGUCAGAUGGUAACCCGACAGAUGUUAAGUCAGAUGAUAAGCCAGAUGAUAAGUCAGAUGGUAACCCGACAGAUGUUAAGUCAGAUGAUAAGCCAGAUGAUAAGUCAGAUGGUAACCCGGUAGAUGUUAAGUUAGAUCAUAAGCCGGCAGAUGAUAACCCAGAUGAUAAGUCAGAUGGUAACCCGACAGAUGUUAAGUCAGAUGGUAAACCGGCAGACAGUCAUAACCCAGCAGACAGAGUCGCCUGGGGUUAAUAAGCCCGAGACGUUAAGAAGCCCAUGAUGUUAAGAAGCCCAUGAAGAGAAGUCAGAAUAGUUUAAGUCUUAGUCCGAGAUGGACUCCACAUCUAACCCGCCCCUUCAACUUAUAUAAGGAGGGGUAGGGCACCCCAAGAGGGGAGAGGAAUAAUCUUAAAGCUAGACAUAACUAGGAGAGCCGGUUUACGACGACUCCCUCGUGAUGAUAAUGAGACCUAGCCAGAAACAGCAUGUAGGGUUGUUACCGGAUGAUGUUUCUCGGGGCCCGAAGCUGUCUAAACCCUUGUCUUGUGUGUUGAUCCAUCUCGCGUCUCUCAUCCCGAUCAACCCCUCUCAAGCUACCACAUAGAUGCGUUGGCCUCAUGACUAAGUCCUCACACUAGGACAUCUACCAUGACAAUCCCAUGACAGUUGGCGCCCACCGUGGGGCUCGGUGGUGUUGAGUUUUUGGAGGGAUCUUCCCUAAGGUGUCGAGAAGCUCGUGAUUUGUCAGAUGUAGAAGAGCUGGCAAAAGUCAUUGUUUGUGAUCGAAAUUGUGAUUAGCUUUGGAGCUGAUAGUACAAGGAUCAAAAGAAAUUAAGGCGGCAUGGAAUACGGCGCCGCCGCUGCCACAGGUCGAAGACGUGCACGAGACCAAUCGGCACAAGGAUCAUAUCAGGCAGGCCGACAAGAAGAAAUUUCGCAGCAUAAUGUGUGUUUGGCGAGCAUUCAAAUCAUCGAGUCAAGGUCGCCGAGUCAAGGCUGCCAAAAAAAUUCCGCUGCAGUAUCAACUUGUACGGUGGUCGUAUCCGACUGCUACUGCAUCUCCCCUGGUCCAAUGAUUAAGUCCCGAGGCCGCGAGAGGCUCAAUCGGCCAAGGUACCAUGUUUGUGUUGUUUCUCUCCAUGUCAUUUAGUAAUCGAUAGCAAAAGCAGAGAGCCACGGCACGCAGUGCCUUCUGCAUGCAAGGACGGAAGUUCAUACAUUGUUUGAAAAAAGAGAGGGGUCAUCCAGGGGCCAUGACCCGGAAACGAAGAGGGCAGCGACCCGGACUCCUCCACGGUCUGUGCCUCGCCUCUGCCCAGGAUUCGAGCUGUUUGCUGUUUCUGUCUGGAGCCGCCGACGCGCCUCUGCCGCGUCGUCCGUCAACGAGCCGCCACUGGCGCGCCUCCGCCUUUGUGACCCUGUUUAAAGCCGUUGAUCCACCGCCAAGUCGCUGUGGCCUGGCCUCACUGACUUUGCAAGCCGGCUUGGACGAGCCCGGCCACAGCUCUCACCAUCUCCGUCUCAUUAUCGGAACGGGCCACGAGUCACUUCCAAGACAACCCUGCGCAAACUCAGCCCUCGAGCCACCUCUGCAUCAAGUUGUCCUGACUAAGUCGCCGAGACCGACGAGCCUCCACUUCCCCUUCUGCGGCGAGUCGUACUCUGUCGCGCCAAGCCGGUUUACACCGCCGCCUCAAUAGGCUGCCCCGUGCGCCGCGGCCCUGUUGCCUCCGGGCCAGUCCUCAAGCUGUUGUGGCCUCCACUGCUGCGCCCGAAAGGUGUUCCGCCGAGCCGCCGGCGUCUCGUCUGGCCGCUACCAACAGCGCCUUCUCAACCCGCCUCCUCGCGUCGGAUUUCUGUCUCGCUGGUGAACCGCCGGCCGCCUCCGUUGGAGUUGAUGGAACCACCGCUUUGCCUACUCGCUCCGCUAGAUUGGCCUGGGGCAACGGCAGCCAUGCACUCGCCUGUGACUCACCUCGCCGGUUCGCUUCUUCUGUCGCCAACCACCAAGCCGCCGUUGCCACCGGCUGCAAUCGUGCUUAAACCACCAAGCUGCCGUCGCCGCCGGCUGUAGUCGUGCUUAAACCGCCUCUGCUGUCUUAAACCGCCACGUCCCCGAGCGGCUUCAACUACUCCAUCGGGUCGAGCCGCUGCGAGUCGCCGACUGCCUCGGAGUUUGCCCGCGCCGUCCAUGGUCGCGGAGAGCCGCCGCUAUGGAGCCGCCCGGCGCUUCACGCCUCCGCUGGCGGGUCAACGGCUGCACCCCGAGCCACCACGUUCGUCUUUGAACUUCCACUCGGAGUAACCCACCUUGCCACUCCUCCAUGAGUCGCCCCGUUUUAGCGCUCCUCGGCGCCGCCUCCGUCAACCCGCCGGUUCACCUCGCCUCUAGAUCGCGGUUUUGAUUCGCCAUGGCCUCGUCGUCGCCUCCAUUGCCGAGCACCCGCACCUCUACUCUAAACCGCUGCUACCUUAUAGCACACCGAGCGCCGUUUCACUGCGCCUCGCGUUGUGCUGAGCCGUUGUGCUGUUUCAAACCGCUGGCCACCUCCGCUGCUCAUCCCCGCCGCUGUGGCUUUAAGACGGCAUGGCCGAGUCACCACCUGGCCCGUGUUUUUCCUCCUCGAGCUGCCCCGACGGUGUGAUUCAUCGCCUCCAUUUUAAGCCACCGCCGGUUUCUGCCUCUGCGGUCUCAACCCGUUGUUUCUGCAGCCUGCCUGGUCGGUCUUGCCAUUUCUUAUGCAGCGCCUCAAGUCGCCAGCACAUCCAAAUUGCCGUGAGCCGAGCCGGCUGUCACGCGACAUCACCUCGCCUCCGCUUUAAGCCUUCUGCCGGGUCACCACGACUGUGGCCUCGCCGUCGCCGUGGCCCGCCAAGCCGCCAUGGCCCCCGACAGUUUCAAGUCGCCGUUGGUGUUGCCUGCUCUCCGAUCCCUAUGACCGCCUAGGCGUCCUUGCAAGUCAGCGAUGCAAGCUGCCCUGAGCCUGCAUGUUUUCUGGCCCUGGCCCCGCCUUGUUUCUGCCUUGUCUACAAGUGGUACAGGGAGGCGUAUUUUGGGUAUGGGAUACAGAGGGCAAAAGAAAUAAGUCAAUGGACGGGCUGGCUAGGCAGAGGCCUGAGGGGAUAAAGCGCAACUGCAUUGAAAAGUUAUCUACGGAUGCUAAUUACGGUUUAUCGAUCGUCCAAACAAAACAGGUGAUAUUUAUCUAAAUUUAUCUUAUUAGUAUAUAUUGUUUUUGUUAAAGAACAAUUACUUGGUCUAUGAUAUUUUUUUGUAGGACCAUUAUUCAUUACAAAUGUGUCGCGAAGGGGUGUGCGCCAAUAUUAUUUUUGCACUAGUGCGUUCGUGCUGUACUGAUGGAUGGGUACAUGCACAAGUUGCUGCCCCUGCUACAAUAUGAUGCGGCUAACUUGCCCGUCCGCACGGUUUACCCCGCCACUUCACCGUGGUGAUCAUCGACUCCGCGGUGGAUAAUCUCUGGCCUGACAUAUCAGGUGAAGUCCAUCCAGUAUAUUUUAUAUUACAUAUUGCUUUCUUUAAAAGAGAAAUUACUCUGCUUGCGAGUUCUUUAAUGUAGGACAAGUUGUCUACUGAAAAAGGGAUUAUUAUAUCAAUGAGCUGUUGAAUGACUCAUACCGGUUUAUGUCACGGUCAAAUACGAAGAAUCUCAAGCCAACUCCUCGAGUCGCCUUGAGACUUGGGGGCUACGAUGACAUGACUCAGUAAAUGACUGACAGUUUAAAGCAAGUCAAGAACUCCGGGUCAGUGGAGGGAAGAUAACCCGGUCCCGGAGGCUGCUGUUAUAUUGAUGAAAAUUUAAAGGUUGUCAGAAAAUUUCCGGCUCAAAAUGAAGAUUCCGGUUUAAAUCCGGUUCAAGGGAAAUCUGUCUCCCGCAAAGCUUUGAAGCUCUCAAUAUCCGGUUUAAAACUCUGGUUGAAAAAAGAAAUUCAGCUCUCGCAAGUUCGAGUUCUCAGAAAAGUUGAAGGUUGCCAAAGAGAACUUGCUGCCAUGAUGCGCGAUUCAAACAUGGGUAUCCUGCCUUAUGGGCUUAUCUUAUUAUGGUCACUUGGGGGGCUUCCUGCUCAUUGAGCGAAGCUAUGAUUACCCUUUGAUCAGGCUUAUACGCCAUUCUUACAAAAACACUUGGGGGCUUGCUACCCAGGUUAAAGGGACCAAAGAGAGUCUGUUGCAAAAGCACAACUCAAACAUAGGUGCCCAUUGAGCACAACUCAAAAAUAUUGCUUGGGGGCUCUUUGUUCUAAAGGACAAAGAGUUUUUAUGACCCUUGUAAUAGGCUUAAAAGCCAAGCUUGGAAGCCAGGUGUAUUCACCUAAAACCCCGGGUUAUCCUGCCUUUUUAAGUCUGCCACUCCGCCCAGGUAAUCCUGGAAUGACCCGCCGUACGUUUGACAAGUCAAUCUUAUGCAGACCCUGAACUUAUCAAAGUUAAAACGAUGAUUGGUUAUGUGUGGUCCGUCUUAUAAGGUUUGUAUAAAGGUUUAACUUAGUGGCUGUGCAGCCCGUGAAAGCACUUGAGAUUUAGGCUUGGCGGCUUAUGAAAGCCUUGUUUUUUCUGAUUUAUUAUUCCUAUUUGAACAUUUUUGGGUUCAUCUUUGUACCAUAUUGACAUAUGGUUUUCACAAUUCAGGUCAUGUAGCCUUGAUCUUUAUGAAUCAUAUUUGAGCAUAUUUGGGGUUUUGAUAACCCGUCCUGAUAAAGGGCGUUAAGUUGCCAGGAUAUAUUUGCCUUGAGUAAUCAAAAUCAUGCUAUUGCAUGCCUACGGGUCAAUACCCUCGACGAAUUAUAUUAUUCAAAUCUUAAAUAGCCAACAUGGCUGGAUUUUUAUUAUGGUUAUCAAUAAUCAAUAUUAUGAUUGAGGUUUUCAAAGUCGCUUUAGCGUAAUGGCUAUUAUUUCUUUAUCAAUGGAUAUGAUUUAUUCUGUAAUGGAAGGAGUAGUCCCGAGUCGUUGCAGGCUUACGACCCGGCACUUGGGGGCUAAAUUAUUCAAAUCAUGAUCAUACCAAAUAUGGAAGUCCCAUGUCACUGCAAGCAUGCACCAUGACACUUGGGGGCUAAUGCAAGGUCAUUUGUUUUACUUGCCUUAUUGAAGAUCCGACUCAUCACUUUGUAAUGAGCCAGACCUUGGGGGCUACCAAUUGCUCCUGUUAAAAAUUCAAGGUACACAAGCCUUAUUCCGUUAUAUUGAAGGGUCCACUGCUCAAUUGGUAAAGCACAAAGCUCUUAACCUUGUGGACGUGGGUUCAAGCCCCAUGAUGGGGGCUACACGUUGUUGUUCAAGUCUACAUGAUCAUAUCUAUAAAGUCCCUGCUCCUUAUUGCAUAAUGACCCGGCCCUUGGGGGCUACACUGGUUCAAGUUUUUAUGAGCAUAAGACAAUUACAAGUCCCAGGUUGUUGCAAGCAUGACAACCCGGCACUUGGGGGCUACAUAUGUGGAAUACUCAGUUUAUGACUAAUGAUUGAGAUGAACAACCUGGAUUUCUUCAAGCUUGUGACAUUCAUGUUGAAGCAAGUCUUAAGCUGUUACUACGUUCCCUUCUUAAGACUUGGGGGCCACAAGUGAUAUACAUAUAAGGGAGGUACGCUUUCAAAGCUGAUGUUAACAAACAAUUAUGACCCGGUGCCAUCAAUAUUUAUAAACCGGCAAUUUUGGCAAUGAUAAACCGGCAAGUUUUACAUCUUUAAGCCGGCUGAAAAUCAGAUGAGUAUUUCAAGACUAACAUUUUUUGUUAAGCAUCGGGAGCUGAAUCAAAUGAAUUAUCCUUCAUAGUAUUUCUCUAUGAGAAACCAAUGUCAGCAAACUGAGUACGAAGCUGGCUUAUUGACCCGGAUUUUCUAGAAGAAGGAAAUGACAAGGACUUAAGGAUGUUCAGGUGUCGGCUUACAAGAAUAUUUAACCCAGAGCACAACCUGUUAAAUUUGUUCUUGUGUUUUGUUUACAGGAUCAGUUUAACAUGGAUAAAUGCAAAUUAAACUGGGGGCUAAUGUCGGGGAUAUACCCCGCGGUAUGGCCCGACCGGAGAUAUGACCCGGCUGGGACUUGGUGUUUCAUUGGUAAGCCGACAGAUGAUAAGUCAGACGGUAACCCGACAGAUGAUAAGUCAGACGGUAACCCGAUAGAUGAUAAGUCAGAAGGUAACCCGGCAGAUGUUAAGUCAGAUGAUAAGCCAGAUGGUAACCCGGCAGAUGUUAAGUCAGAUCAUAAGCCGGCAGAUGAUAAGCCAGAUGAUAAGUCAGAUGGUAACCCGGGAGAUGUUAAGUCAGAUGGUAAACCGGCAGACAGUCAUAACCCAGUAGACAGAGUCGCAUGGGGUUAAUAAGCCCGAGACGUUAAGAAGCCCAUGAUGUUAAGAAGCCCAUGAAGAGAAGUCAGAAUAGUUUAAGUCUUAGUCCGAGAUGGACUCUACAUGUAACCCGCCCCUUCAACUUAUAUAAGUAGGGGCAGGGCACCCCAAGAGGGGAGAGGAAUAAUCUUAAGGCUACACAUAACUAGGAGAGCCGGUUUACGGCGACUCCCUCAUGAUGAUAAUGAGACCUAGCCAAAACAGCAUGUAGGGUUGUUACCGGAUGAUGUUUCCCGGGGCCCAAAGCUGUCUAAACCCUUGUCUUGUGUGUUGAUCCAUCUCGCGUCUCUCAUCCUGAUCAACCCCUCUCAAGCUACCACAUAGAUGCGUUGGCCUCAUGACUAAGUCCUCACACUAGGACAUCUACCGUGACAAUCCCACGACAGGCAGGAUGGAGGUCAUCGCGGAGCCCACGACGGCGUCACCGCCAGAGCCUUUGGCAGGCGAAGGCCACCUUUUGUCAAAAUAGCUUGUACUAGCUAUCCCCCUUCAAAUUGGCCAUUGUGGGAUCCCUUCCCGCCUAAUAUUUGGGAGGAGGACCCGGGCCUCUAUAAAUAGGACUAGCCACCACCGUAGAAGGGAACUCAUCUUGGGUUAGAUCCAUUCCAUCCACACACAUGCACAAGCUCACCGAGCUCAAGAACACCUCUCCUCAGGAGGUGGUUCUUUCCUUGUACUUGUUCAUCCCAGCCUACAAGGCGAUCCACCACACCACACUGGAGUAGGGUAUUACACCACAUCGGUGGCCCGAACCAGUACAAACUCUUGUGUCCCUUGUUCUUCGGGUCAGCGAGCUAGGCUUUGAGAUCGUGGUGAGAGCGUGAGCUAGGGGGAGAGAGAUCUUUGUGCGCACCCCAGAGUUCGAACCUCAAGGGUUUUGCCGGAACCCAUAAUCCGACAUUUGGCGUGCUAGGUAGGGGUACGCCGAAGCCUCUCUUUCAUUAGCUGAUCCGCCGACACCCCACAGUGCCGAUGUCCGGCGACCCAAGGACCAAUGCCGACCAUUGGGCAGCUUGGCCCGUCAGGGCGGCACCGUCCGCCCAAGAAGACCUCAACUUCGCGCUCCAGACCCGUGCACCACCGAACGCCGCGGGGCGCGGGCAGCGCGGCCUGGCGCCUUCCACCCUCACACCGCGGCGCGCGCGGGCCGCCACAAGGGCCUCAAGCUACACGGUAGCGAUGGCGCCGCACACUCGACGGGAACAAGCGAACAUGCGAGCCGCGCUUAUAGUGGCACGGGAGCUGCUGCGGUGCCGACUGGCAGAGAGCGGCCGCGACACAUUGCUGGAGCGCGUCGCUGAGCUGUUGGACGCCACAACCAGGGGUACGCCGCCUUUCUGCUCCUUACCUACGCCUCAAGUUGUGGCCAGAUCACACGGUGGGUCUCGUCGCGCCCGCGUGCUCCCAGGCGCACCAGGAGGGUUCAUCGGCGUCGGCGCGGCCAAGAGUGUCGGGCACCCGGCUGCACCUGUGCUUCCCCCAGCAGGCGCAGAUACGGGCGCUGCCCCCCACGAACCCAACGGGAUGCCAUCAUACCACCACCAGGGCGGCGCGCUAGGCUCAGCGGCAUGGAGCACGGGGCGUCUCGGCGGGGGUUCCGGGGCGGCGGCUCCGGAAGCCUAUGUGCCCCACAUGGUGGAUCGAGAGUACACGCCGGAGGAUGACCCCAACUCAUUCCUUAAGUCGGGUUGGGAAGAGGAGAUGCUGGAAGUUGAGGCCUUCCAGGAGCCUCGCCGACCCCGCCAACGACAGCAACUGCAGGUACCGCUAAUUUCUCAGGAGCAGGCUUACGCUAACCAUGGGUCGCAGGUGGACCAGGUCACAGCGGUGGACGGCGACCCCAGCGCGGCAACCUCACUUCAACAGGGGAAGCACACUGGGGGCUACGCGGUAGGGGCCUGGAGCAAGGCCCCUCUUCGCGUCGCACGAAGCAAGGUGUCGCCCGGAGGUAGGUCCUCUGUCGGGGAGGCACCGGCAAGCCUUUUCCCUGGCAGAGGGCCCAUGGUCGCCGAGGGCGCCGCUCGUGUCCCCUUUUCCCCUUGGCAUCGUCCUAGUUUCCGGACGCCCCAACGGUGGUCGAGGGCGGCGCAAGGCGGGGCCCUCUUCUGGCGAUAUGAAGCAAGGCCCGCGCCUGUGAAGGUCUCCGCCCGUGACACUCUCACGUAAUAAUGAGUGGGGCUGUACACGCCCCGGAGUCUCCGGAGAGCCUCCCUCGGGCCUCGGGGGCUCCCACCCAUGUCCUAGUGGAAGCAACAUGGUCCACGCUAGCCGUCGACACUGUCCCCCAAUGACUAUGCUCACGGCCUGUGAAAGCACUUAGCUCCGUGCUGGCGGGAAGACAAGAAGACUAGCUAGGUGCCGGAUGCGGCCAUUUGCUUUCAACCCCUCUUUUUUGUAGCUCAUUUUGCCGCCUUUUCGGAUUUAAACUCGAAUUUGUAUUUUCGCUGGCAAGUGCGGGGGGCAUCUUUUGAUCGUUGCAUUGGUUUCUUGAAUUUUCUGGUCUUGCGCCUUACUUUUAAGGACCGCGCCUGCUACCCCUCCCUCACGAGCACCUUGCGAGCGGGGGCUGGGUGUGGCAUACGCGCGCAUCCUGCCGCGCUCAGGCGCUUGCUUCUCGUGAGGCCCUCUUGGGCGGACUAGCAGGCUCCUCAGGAGCCCAACACCUUGCGGCCCGCAAAGGACUCCCCUCGGGAGAAAUACACACGGGCAACCACAAGACCGGUUCGAGGUCUGUCUGGACUGAGGUAAGUUGCUACAACAAGCUAGUGGAAGAACUUAAGGACUCACAAAAGCGUGCUUUAAGUCUGGCUCAAGGGAUAAAACAAUAGUCUGGUUACAUGAGGGGCUCCCCCUUCCCAAAAAAUGCUCUCACAUCUUGAAGGGCCACGCCCAAGCUUUUGCGCGCAGGUUUAAAACGAAGGAGCGCAGGCCUAAUCAGACAUGUCGCUCGCAGCAUCUUCCGAAUCAUUCCCGGACGCGCUGCUGGCACCAUUGUCAUCGCCUAUGUCGCCCCUGCCAUCGUCAACCGCGCCGCCUUCGUCCGCCACGACCACCACCGUGUCGUCCUCGGAGACGAAGGUCCUGACCAGAGCAUCCACAUUAUCGUCCACCCAGCGUGCCAGGUUAUCCUGGAUAGCCCCGGGCACUGGGGCAAUGGCGGCGUCAAAAUCGAAGUUGGGGUUGGCAUUUUGAAGAUGGCUGAAGACACGGGAGAAUGCGUGCCCGAGGAGGCCCCGGCUCUUUUCGUCCACGAGCUCGGGAGCCCUCUCGGCCCGGUUCUCCAGGUGCGUCACGACGUCGAUGAAGAAGCGAAGGUGGCUGGCAUAGUCCUCGGCAUGGGGGUGAGGGGCGUGCUCGUCGCAGAUGGUGCCUAGCGCCUGAUUGGCCCUCGUCCUAAGGUCCCGAAGCAUGGGAGUGUGCUCGCGCAGUAACGUCUGCCAGCGGAGCGCCUCUUCCCUGCUCUGCUGCGUGAAGGACUCGGCGUUGGUAACUCGCCGCUAAAGCGGGAGCGGCUCGGCACGGGCGGAGGCCAACUCAGCCUGCAUGGAGAUCAAGGCAGCUGUUGCGGCCUUCUCGCACUGCUCCGCCUCGGGCAACCUUGACCUGAGGGCGGCGGUCCUGCCCUCCGCUUCGGCUUCCAUGAGCUUCAGCUUCAGGUCGUACCUGUUGGCAAGAUCAGCACGAGCCUCGGCCACCCUGCGGUCAACUUCCUCCUGGGUCUGGCCUCGCGCGUGCUGGCAGCGUCUUCCGCUUCGGCAACCUGGCGCUCCCUCGUCUCCAACCGCUCAAGCUCGAGGAUGCGCUCCGUGGCCUCCAGCAUCGGCGCUUCCUCGCUCCUCAAGAUCUCCUCCUCAUCAGAUGGCGCCCCAUUCAUCAACGCCAAGGCAGCUCUGCGCGCCUCCACUUGCUCCUCCAGGGAGGCAUUCACGGCCAGGAGCUCCUGCAUGCGCCUCUUGGCGACCUCGCGGCGGUGGUCUGCCUCCCUGGCCUCCUCCAAGGCCCGGGCGCUGGCCUCGUGCGAGGUUGUGGGGGAUGCCUCGGCCUUCGCGUUGUCGUGCUCGCACUGGAGGUGCCCGAGGUUGAUGGCCACCUUUAGUUGAUGCCAUUCGUCCACCAGCCGGAGACCCUCAGCUUCAAGGCGGCCGUCGACAUCCACGAGCUCUUCCCCAAGCCAGCUCAGCGCACCCAUCGCCUCCCAGAAGAGCUCGUGGCGGACGGCACCCCGCUUGUGCGUGCGCUCGAAUGCAUGACCGGGCCCAUCCCCCAUGCCAGAAGUCGUUGAAGAGGUCCGAGGUGGCUCGCCUCCUCCCAGCAGGGGGCUAGGGGCCGGUGCUUUGCCAGGCACCCUUCGGGCCCUGUUGGGAGCACAGGGGGGAAGCGGCUCGUUGCCUGGAGAAGAGGCCAGGGCUGAGGCCACCCAGCCGCGCUCGACAACCAGAGGAGGAGCCCUUGGCACACCUUCCGCACCCCAGGCAAGGCCACGAAGGAGAAACGGCAAGAACGCGGGUUCGAGGCACCAGGCUGGCGCGCUUGCCUCUCCGGCCAACCUCGCGCCAAGUGCCGCACGUUGGCUUGGGGCGCUCAAGGCCAGCAGGGGACUUGAAGCAGGAAGAGGUUGCUUCUCGGGGGUUUUCGCCGCCUUAGCAGAAGGGACCCUGAGGAGCCACAGUCAGGAGAGGAAGCGGCACUCGAGAAAUUACAAAGAUAAGGUACUCACUCGUCUAUGGCGAUAUACUUCCUCUGUUUCAGUGGCCGGAAGACAUCACCGCUGCAGCUUGGAGACCCCUUCCUCUUCCGGAGCGCGUCGAAGUUCAGCGAAGCCGGCCAAAGCCCAGGGUACGGUCACCAGCUCCGGGCGCGGCUGGGGUAGCUCCUGAGGAGGCGACCUCAGGGGUGCUGGACUGCGUGGAGACCUUGGCCUCCGCCUCGCGGCGACCCGCCGGGACCACGGGGGCUGCAGCCUUAGGAGUAUCGGGCUGCGUCGUCCCUCCGGUCGCUUCCUCAAGACGGCUCCCAAGGGGCCCACUAGGCGACCCUUCAGGAGCCCCGGGUGGCGUCGGUUCCUCAGCAGCUGCAUCGCCCGUAGGUGGCGGUGAUCGCCCCCUGCAUCCACCUCGGGGGAGGUCACCGCGCUAGCGGCGGGCAAGGGAGCCACAAAGACAGGGCUCUAGCUAGGCCCUUCAAGGCCAGCUGGGCUUAGUCACCACUCAUCAAAAGAAGGCAGCUGCUUCGCAAACUCCACCUUGUUCAAGCAACAGUACAGAAGGCAGCCCUCCUCCGGCAAGCUGGCGGGUAUUGGGUCGCCCGUCAGGAGCUUAAGCACCAUGCGCCGCGCCUCUGGAGCAAGAGCUGGCGCCUGAAGCCUCAUGCGGUCCCGGUAGCCGGAGAAGGUCCACAUCAGCUGGGAGUGGCGCUGAAGCGGAGCGAUGCGACACCGGAUGAACUCCUUCACCACCAUUGGAGCUGUCACUCCGAGACUCUUCAGCCUAGCCAGCUGGAGCCAGAUGUGGGCGAGCCGCCGGUCGGCGGACAUCGCGUGCCCCCAGCCAAGGCUUGGGACAGCCGGAGCUUGCGGGAGCUGCAGCAGGGGCUGCGCACACCAACAUCCACGAACACCCACCUCUUCCGGAAGCCUUCGACGACCGGCGAAAGCUCAAAAUCGAUCCCCGAGCCGGUUGUUGCCGCAACAGCCUGAAGGGAUACACACCCCGAGCACUGAGAAGCAUCUGUUAGGUGCAAUGAGAAGAAGUGGCGAAGCAUGGCCACGGAAGGAGCAACUCCCACCACAGCCUCGCAGACAAAGGCAAAGAUAGCAAGGAGGAGGAUGGAUUGGGGAUCGAGGUGUAGUGCAUGGAUCUGGUAAUGCGAGAGUACCGCAUUGAAGAAGCCGGAGAAGGGAGGGAUCAAACCAGCCCAGAGGGCGUGAAGAUGGAUGGUAACCUUGGUGGCCGUCCUGUCAAUCGCCACACGGGAAGCAGGCCAGGCCACCGUCGCCCCCCACUCAUAAGAAUCGGCGGCGAGCGCUGGGCGCACCUUGUCCAUCGCUUCCCGAUUGAGCACCACCGACCGUUCAAUGGCAGGCUCGGAGACCGGCACCGUGGGGACCGAGGUACGGGACUCUUUCUUCCCCUUCUUCUUUCGGCUGGGCGCCAUGGCGGCAAGGAGACUCGGUGUCAGGUCAGACGGAGGGAAGGGAUUCGCUGUCUUCUGGAAAGCGAAGGAGUUGCGGGGCGUGCUGCAGGCGAAUGGGGGCAGAGUUGUGUAGGCAGCGAUGGCUGCCUAGCCAGGCGCAAAUAGAGGCUGCGUGGGGAAGUGGAGACGCCCACGUCAUGUCAAUCGCCACGCGUCAAUCAAGGCCGCAGGCGGUUGGGGCCCGCGGCGCUCCGCACUUGCCCCUUGGCUUCGCCCUGAAGCCAAGUCCGAGCGCGCCUUGGGCCCGGGGGCUACUGUCGGCGUUCUGGGAACGGGGGUCCCCAAACUUGCCUGCCUGCGGCCCGUGGCGUGGCUCCACUAGCGGCCUGGUACGGCCCAUCUUCACCAGCAAGCACUCAAGACCCUCGCGAGGGGCCAAGCCUCGCGAGGCCGCGACACAAGACCUCCUCAGGGGCAGCCUCACUAGGCUGGCUCGCGAGGAGCGGAGAGACCAAGGCGAGGGGCACCUCGUGAGGUUCCCCUGACGUGUGCCAUGACGACCAAGGCCAGGCGGGCACCAGCGGGCGCAGAGUACUGGUUUCCUCUUUGGUGCUAAAGGAGUAGGCACAGGCGAGGAGUCCCGAGGCAUCAGGCAAAGGUUUCCAUAUCGGUGCAACGAGACCAAGACCAGCAGGACGACAGGAUGGAGGUCAUCGCGGAGCCCACGACGGCGUCACCACCAGAGCCUUUGGCAGGCAAAGAUCACCUUUUGUCAGGAUAGCUUGUACUAGUUGUCCCCCUUCAAAUUGGCCGUUGUGGGAUCCCUUCCCGCCUAAUAUUUGGGAGGAGGACCCGGGCCUCUAUAAAUAGGACUAGCCACCACCGUAGAAGGGAACUCAUCUUGGGUUAGAUCCAUUCCAUUCACACACACACAAGCUCACCGAGCUCAAGAACACCUCUCCUCAGGAGGUGGUUCUUCCCUUGUACUUGUUCAUCCCAGCCUACAAGGCAAUCCACCACACCACACUGGAGUAGGGUAUUACACCACAUCGGUGACCCGAACCAGUAUAAACUCUUGUGUCCCUUGUUCUUCGGGUCGGCGAGCUAGGCUUUGAGAUCGUGGUGAGAGCGUGAGCUAGGGGGGGAGAGAUCUUCGUGCGCACCCCAGAGUUCGAACCUCAAGGGUUUUGCCGGAACCCGUAAUCCGACAGUGGUGCGGCCCAUGGAUAAGGGCAAGGAGGUGGUGCCGCCCAUGGAGGAGGUUGUGCCAACCAAUGCUUGAGGAGGUGGCCAUGGAUGAUGACGUGGUGCCGGAGGAGCCCCCUAGCGGGAAGCGUCAGAACUAGGGGCACUACCAUGAGGAGGGUGGUCUAACUCACUUCUGCAUGAUGAUCCUUGCUCCUCAUCUUGAGUACAUCCUGAUGCCCCUGGACUUCACCAAGCACUUCCCGGCCAUGCCGACAGAGUUCAAGUUUAGGACGAACACCGACUGCUCAUGGAGGGUCACUGUCCGGCUGAUGGACGGCAGGGUCACCCUCGAUCAGGGUUGGGCCCCCUUCGCCGCAAGUCCAUCAGAUCAAGAACGACUACAUGGUGACGUUUAAGCUGCUCACUCCCGACACGCUCAAGCCCAUCGUCUUCAACAACGAAGCAUUAAAGUGGUGACCAAGACGACGCCUUCGCCUUGAAUGUCUAGGAUAACCCUUCCUAUGCUCCAGUUGGUUUAGUUUCUUAUCGUACUGCUUUGCUUUUGAACUGAUAUGUUUAAGUGUGGCACUGUAUUUAAAAUUGCCUGCUAUGGUUUACAACUAUCUUCUGUUGUGUGUGUAUGAUUUAUUCUUCACGCUGUUGUGUGUUGGUAACCUCACCACCUCGCUGAAGAGGUUACCAAACAACAUGUGUUGCAUGGAACCAAACAACAUGCAUUGUGUUUGCGCAUACACAAGCGGGCAACCAAACAGGCUACCUUUCUUUACACCCCAUGCAAGCUAGAGGGUAUGCAGGCAACCAAACUUGGUGCAUAUGUUGGUUUUUUCCUAUAUACCCUUAAACAUGCUCUGUUGAGCCAGGCUCCACGGGCCAGACUGCAACGAGAAGGCUACCAAUACGCAGGAUGCAACUGCGGUUUGCGCUUAUCGUGCUUGCAAGUGUAGUUGCACCGCGUAGAAAUAACUAAAAUCUACUCCUUCCGCUUAUUUAUUCGCGCGUGAGACUUCUUCGUACCUCGCCUUCCUCAAGAGGAAAAAAUUACUCUUUGCACCUUGCCUCGUUCUUUCAUUCCAAGACGAUUUAGUUCCAUUCUUAGGUGCGAUUAGCUCCUGGGCUUGCUCCGAGCAGCCCGUGAGAUGCCCUAGUUUUGUAUGUUUCCCACUUGUACUGUUCUGGUUUUAUGUGCGCUCGAGCUGCUAACAGAUGAAUCGAGGAAUGUUUCUAUCCCACACUCGCAUGCAGUGCAGAUACAUGGCUUUUCAAAUUCUAUAUCAUAUGAUAGGUAGCUUCUACGCAUGUCUUUAAUGGGACUCGGUUACAAACUCCAACUAUACUAUGUUGGAAAUAUGCCCUAGAGGCAAUAAUAAAAUGGUUAUUAUUGUAUUUCCUUGUUCAUGAUAAUUGUCUGUUGUUCAUGCUAUAAUUGUAUUAACUGGAAACCGUAAUACAUGUGUGAAUACAUAGACCACAACAUGUCCCUAGUAAGCCUCUAGUUGACUAGCUCGUUGAUCAAUAGAUGGUUAUGGUUUCCUGACCAUGGACAUUGGAUGUCAUUGAUAACGGGAUCACAUCAUUAGGAGAAUGAUGUGAUGGACAAGACCCAAUCCUAAGCAUAGCACAAGAUCGUGUAGUUCGUUUGCUAGAGCUUUUCUAAUGUCAAGUAUCAUUUCCUUAGACCAUGAGAUUGUGCAACUCCCGGAUACCGUAGGAAUGCUUUGGGUGUACCAAACGUCACAACGUAACUGGGUGGCUAUAAAGGUGCACUACAGGUAUCUCCGAAAGUGGCUGCUGGGUUGGCACGAAUCGAGACUGGGAUUUGUCACUCUGUAUGACGGAGAGGUAUCUCUGGGCCCACUCGGUAAUGCAUCAUCAUAAUGAGCUCAAUGUGACUAAGGAGUUAGCCACGGGAUCAUGCGUUAUGGUACGAGUAAAGUGACUUGCCGGUAACGAGAUUGAACAAGGUAUUGGGAUACCGACGAUCGAAUCUCGGGCAAGUAACGUACCGAUUGACAAAGGGAAUUGUAUACGGGAUUGAUUGAAUCCUCGACAUCGUGGUUCAUCCGAUGAGAUCAUCGUGGAACAUGUGGGAGCCAACAUGGGUAUCCAGAUCCCGUUGUUGGUUAUUGACCGGAGAGUCGUCUCGGUCAUGUCUGCAUGUCUCCCGAACCCGUAGGGUCUACACACUUAAGGUUCGGUGACGCUAGAGUUGUAGAGAUAUUAGUAUGCGGUUAACCGAAAGUUGUUCGGAGUCCCGGACAUCACGAGGAGUUCCGGAAUGGUCCGGAGGUAAAGAUUUAUAUAUGGGAAGUCCUAUUUUGGCCACCGGAAAAUGUUCGGGAUUUUUCGGUAUUGUACCGGGAAGGUUCUAGAAGGUUCCGAAGUGGGGCCCACCUGCAUGGGGGGACCCACAUGAACGUGGGUAGUGGGGGCAAGGCCCCACACCCCUGGUCAAGGCGCACCAAGAUCCCACCUUAGAAGGAAUAAGAUCAUAUCCCGAAGGGAUAAGAUCAAGAUCCCUAAAAAAGGGGGAUAACAAUCGGUGGGGAAGGGAAAUUAUGGGAUUUCUUUUCCCCACCUUUGCCAACGCCCCAAUGGACUUGGAGGGCAAGAAACCAGCCCCCUCCACCCCUAUAUAUAGUGGGGAGGCGCAUGGGAGCAGCACCCCAAGCCCUGGCGCCUCCCUCCCUCCCGUGACACCUCUUCCUCCCCGCUUGCGCAUGGCGAAGCCCUGCCGGGAUCCCGCUACUUCCACCACCACGCCGUCGUGCUGCUGGAUCUCCAUCAAUUUCUCCUCCCCCCUUGCUGGAUCAAGAAGGAGGAGACGUCCCCGCUCCGUACGUGUGUUGAACGCGGAGGUGUCGUCCGUUCGGCGCUAGGAUCAUCGGUGAUUUGGAUCACGACGAGUACGACUCCAUCAACCCCGUUCUCUUGAACGCUUCCGCGCGCGAUCUACAAGGGUAUGUAGAUGCACUCCUCUCUCUCGUUGCUAGAUGACUCCAUAGAUUGAUCUUGGUGAUACGUAGAAAAUUUUAAAUUUCUGCUACGUUCCCCAACAGUGGCAUCAAGAGCCAGGUUUAUGCGUAGAUUCUAUGCACGAGUAGAACACAAAGUAGUUGUGGGCGACGAUUUGUUCAAUUUGCUUACCGUUACUAGUCUUAUCUUGAUUCGGCGGCAUUGUGGGAUGAAGCGGCCCGGACCGACCUUACACGUACUCUUACGUGAGACAGGUUCCACCGACUGACAUGCACUUGAUGCAUAAGGUGGCUAGCGGGUGUCUGUCUCUCCCACUUUAGUUGGAUCGGAUUCGAUGAAAAGGGUCCUUAUGAAGGGUAAAUAGCAAUUGGCAUAUCACCGUUGUGGCUUUUGCGUAGGUAAGAAACGUUCUUGCUAGAAACCCAUAGCAGCCACGUAAAACAUGCAACAACAAUUAGAGGACGUCUAACUUGUUUUUGCAGGGUAUGCUAUGUGAUGUGAUAUGGCCAAAAGGAUGUGAUGAAUGAUAUAUGUGAUGUAUGAGAUUGAUCAUGUUCUUGUAAUAGGAAUCACGACUUGCAUGUCGAUGAGUAUGACAACCGGCAGGAGCCAUAGGAGUUGUCUUAAUUUAUUGUAUGACCUGCGUGUCAAUGAAAAACGCCAUGUAAUUACUUUACUUUAUUGCUAACCAUUAGCCAUAGUAGUAGAAGUAAUAGUUGGCGAGACAACUUCAUGAAGACACGAUGAUGGAGAUCAUGAUGAUGGAGAUCAUGGUGUCAUGCCGGUGACGAAGGUGAUCAUGCCGCGCCUCGAAGAUGGAGAUCAAAAGGCGCAAGAUGAUAUUGGCCAUAUCAUGUCACUUUAUGAUUUGAAUGUGAUGUUUGUCAUGUUUACAUCUUAUUUGCUUAGAACGACGGUAGCAUAAAUAAGAUGAUCCCUCACUAAAAUUUCAAGAGAUGUGUUCCCCCUAACUGUGCACCGUUGCGAAGGUUCGUUGUUUCGAAGCACCACGUGAUGAUCGGGUGUGAUAGAUUCUAACGUUCGCAUACAACGGGUGUUGACGAGCCUAGCAUGUACAGACAUGGCCUCGGAACACAAGCAAAACACUUAGGUUGACUUGACGAGCCUAGCAUGUACAGACAUGGCCUUGGAACACAAGAGACCGAAAGGUCGAAUAUGAGUCGUAUAGUAGAUACGAUCAACAUGGAGAUGUUCACCGAUGAUGACUAGUCCGUCUCACGUGAUGAUCGGACACGGCCUAGUCGAUUUGGAUCAUGUAUCACUUAGAUGACUAGAGGGAUGUCUAUCUAAGUGGGAGUUCAUUAAAUAAUCAGAUGAACUUAAUUAUCAUGAACAUAGUCAAAAGGUCUUUGCAAAUAAUGUCGUAGCUUACGCUUUAGUUCUACUAAGAUAUGUUCCUAGAGAAAAUUUAGUUGAAAGUUGAUAGUAGCAAUUAUGCGGACUGGGUCCAUAAACUGAGGAUUGUCCUCAUUGCUGCACAGAAGGCUUAUGUCCUUAAUGCACCGCUCGGUGUGCUGAACCUUGAGCGUCGUCUGUAGAUGUUACGAAACAUCUGACAUACACGUUUUGAUGACUACGUGAUAGUUCAGUGUGUGAUGCUAACAGUUUAAAAUUGUGGCACCAAAGACGGUUUUGAAACGUUGCAGAACAUAUGAGAUGUUCCAAAGACUGAAAUUGGGAUUUCAGACUAAUGCCCACGUCAAGAGGUAUGAGACCUCUGACAAGUUUCUUAAGCCUGCAAACUAAGGGAGAAAAGCUCAAUCGUUGAGCAUGUGCUCAGAUUGUCUGAGUACUACAAUCACUUGAAUCGAGUGGGAGUUAAUCUUCCAGAUGAGAUAGUGAUGGUUCUCCAUAGUCACUGCCACCAAGCUAUUAGAGCUUCGUGAUGAACUAUGACAUAUCAGGGAUAGACAUGAUGAUCCUUGAGCAACUCGCGAUGUUUGACACCGCGAAAGUAGAAAUCUAGAAGGAGCAUCAAUUGUUGAUGGUUAGUAAAACCACUAGUUUCUAGAAGGGCAAGGGCAAGAAGGGAUACUUCAUGAAACGGCAAAUCAGUUGCUGCUCUAGUGAAGAAACCCAAGGUUGAACCCAAACCCGAGACUAAGUGCUUCUGAAAUGAGGGGAGCGGUCACUGAAGCAGAACUACCCUAGAUACUUCGUAGAUGAGAAGGCUGGCAAGGUCGACAGAAGUAUAUUGGAUAUACAUUAUAUUAAUGUGUACUUUACUAGUACUCCUAGUAGCACCAGGGUAUUAGAUACCGCUUCGGUUGCUAAGUGUUAGUAACUCGAAAUAAAAGCUGCGGAAUAAACGGAGACUAGCUAAAGGUGAGAUGACGAUAUGUGUUGGAAGUGUUUCCAAGGUUGAUGUGAUCAAGCAUCGCAUGCUCCCUCUACCAUCGAGAUUGGGGUUAAACCUGAAUAAUUAUUAUUUGGUGUUUGCGUUGAGCAUAGACAUGAUUGGAUUAUGUUUAUAGCAAUACGGUUAUUCAUUAAAGGAGAAUAAUGGUUACUCUGUCUAUUUGAAUAAUACCUUCAAUGGUCUUGCACCUAAAAUGAAUGGUUUAUUGAAUCUCGAUCGUAGUGAUACACAUGUUCAUGCCAAAAGAUAUAAGAUAGUAAUGAUAGUACCACAUACUUGUGGCACUGCCACUUGAGUCAUAUUGGUAUAAAAUGCAUGAAGAAGCUCCAUGUUGAUGGAUGUUUGGACUCACUCGUUUUUGAAAAGAUUGAGACAUGCGAACCAUGUCUAUUAGUAUAUAUGCAUGAAGAAAGUCCAUACAGAUGGAUCAUUUGGACUCACUUGAUUUUGAAUCACUUGAGACAUGCAAAUCAUACCACAUGGGCAAGAUGACUGGAAGGCCUCGUUUUCAGUAAGAUGGAACAAGAGAGCAACUUGUUGGAAGUAAUACAUUUGAUGUGUGCAGUCCAAGGAAUGCUGACGCACGCAGUGGAUAUCAUUAUGUUCUUACUUCAUAGAUGAUUUGAGUAGAUGCUGAGAAUAUUUACUUGAUGAAACACAAGUCUGAAUUAUUGAAAGGUUCAAGUAAUUUCAGAGUGAAGUUGAAGAUCAUCGUGACAAGAGGAUAAAAUGUCUGUGAUAUGAUCAUAGAGAUGAAUAUCUGAGUUACGAGUUUGGCACACAAUUAAGAAAUUGUGGAAAUUGUUUCACGACUAAUACCACCUGGAACACCAUAUUGUGAUGGUGUGUCCGAACAUCAUAACUGCACCCUAUUGGAUAUGGUGCAUACCAUGAUGUCUCUUAUCGAAUUACAACUAUCGUUUAUGGGUUAGGCAUUAGAGCCAACCGCAUUCACUUUAAAUAGGGCACCACGCAAUUCCGUUGAGACGACACCGUAUGAACUAUGGUUUAGAGAAACCUAAGCUAUCGUUUCUUAAAAGUUUGGGGCUGCGACGCUUAUGUGAAAAAGUUUCAGGCUGAUAAGCUCGAACCCAAAGCGGAUAAAUGCAUCUUCAUAGAAUACCCAAAACAGUUGGGUAUACCUCCUAUUUCAGAUCUGGAAGCAAAAGUGAUUGUUUCUAGAAACGGGUCCUUUCUCGAGGAAAAGUUUCUCUCGAAAGAAUUGAGUGGGAGGAUGGUGGAGACUUGAUGAGCUCAUUGAACCGUCACUUCAACUAAUGUGUAGCAGGGCACAAGAAGUUGUUCCUGUGGCACCUACACCAAUUGAAGUGGAAGCUUAUGAUAGUGAUCAUGAAACUUCAGAUCAAGUCACUACCAAACCUCAUAGGACGACAAGGAUGCGUACUACUUCAGAGUGGUACGUAAUCCUGUCUUGGAAGUCAUGUUGCUAGACAACAAUGAACCUACGAGCUAUGGAGAAGCGAUGUGAUGGGUAACGCAGCAGAAAACAAAAAAUUUCCGACCUACGCACCAGCCCAGGACCACUAUGGAGACUGCAUACAUGGUUUGAUCUUUUUCAUUACCGACUCGUAGCGUAGCGGGAAGUAGAGUCGAUGACGAUCGGCGGUGCAGAUCCCCGCAGCUAGGAUUUACAACCUCCCAACCGCGAGGAUGUAAACCCUCAUCUGCUCCUCAGACAGCCCUCCGGGAGGCGGUCGAACAGCCCCCCGGACGGUGUCGCGGACAGCCCUUCGGGAGGACCUUUGAAACUCGAACGGUCACUCGGACAGCCCUUCGGGAGGACCUUCGAAACUCGGACGGUCACACGGACAGCCCUUCGGGAGGCACUCACGAACUAAGACCGAAACUACGAUCUCUCUACAGAGUUGCACACAUACGGUGUCAUCUAUCCGGCAGGGCUUCGCCGUCCAGAACUAGUUCCUGCCGGAACCCAGACAGCCUUACGGCUCUACGAAACUCUUUUCGUGGGAGGGAGAGAAGAAGCCAGAUAAUGCAUGGCAUGUGUAUGAGAGCAAGGGAUGAUCCUUUAGGCAGCCCCCUCCACCCCUAUUUAUAGGCCAAGCCCAAGGGUGGCUUCUCCAAGAAGCCAAGGGGGGAAAUACCAAAAAGGCCCUCAAGGUGGCUUCUCCAAGAAGCCAAGCAAAAAGCACUUUCACUAUUCAUGACGACAUUUUUCAGCGUCCGUUCGAACUGAAAAUAUUUAUGUGGGCUCAGAACAUUUCCAGUACCCACUAAAAUAAUUUUCAACGUGUUCCGAAACAAUUUCGGUUUAGUGAUUUUCAUCUGCGAAAAGCAAACAAGAAUGCGUUUUCACUAUUCAUGAAGACAAUUUUUCGCGUCCAUUAAAUCCGAAAAUAUUUCUGUGGGUCUUAGAAUAAUUCCAGUACCCACUAAAAUGAUUUUGGAUUCGUUCUGAAACAAUUUCAGAUUAGUGAAUUUCAUCUGCGAAAAACAACCAAAGCGGUACCGGCAGCUCCGAAACAUUUUCAGUUUUUAUUUCUGAAAAUUCCAAAAAGCUUCCAGAAUGAUUCUGGCAUCCUCCAAGAAUUAUCAGGCAUGUGCCAAAACCAAUUUGACUUAAUGAUGUAUCCCGAAACAACUUUUCGGUAUCAUCGAAACUUAUCCGAUGACCUCUCUCUGCGGUACGAUUCCGCUGUCCGAAACUUUUCGGUGUCCGAAACUUUUUCGGUGAUUUUCUCUCAGACUCCCUGUCUAGUAUUCAGCAGAUAGAUGACCCUUAAGCGUGUGACCCUAUAGGUUCGGUGAAGUAUAGACAUGACCCGGAACCCCUUCCGAUCAAUGAUCAACAUCGGAGCCGUGGACACCCAUAUUGACCCCUAUACCCACACGAAUAAAUAUUCGAGUGAACCUCCAGUUGCUGUGUGCUAUUCCUGUUGCUUCGCGAUAUGUUACAAAUACCCGAGGUGAGACAUGUUGGCAUUCCCGUGGAUCAACAACUUGUCCACUAUGCUAGUUACCUCGUUACCGGUUUUGUUCUCUUUUCUCGUUUCGUGUUCCGGCAUCCCCGUGAUCAAAUCACAAAGUGUCUGGCCAGACGAUGAUGGACACCGUAACACCGAGAGGGCCCGAGUAUAUCUCUCCAUCGUCGGAGGAGCAAAUCCCAAUCUCGAGCUAUCAAGUCACUUAACAUACUUUCCCAUGAACCCGUAAGCCGCCGUAAUAGCCAUCCAGUUACGGAUGACGUUUAACAAACCCCAAAGUUCAUGAAGCAAGCAUGAAGAAACACUACAACAAGACCCCCACUAUAGCAACGCCUUUUUCCGUAUCUAAAUGUCCAUAUAUGCGUUGCUAGGUUCUUUACCAACGGUUUGGGAUGCGUAGCCUUAUCCAGUGUUGCUAGCGCAUAAUGCAACGCUUAUACUAUCGUUGGUAAAAGGGUCCGUUGCAAGAGAACAACAGAUAAAACGGACUUUACAACAAUUUUAUAUGUUGGUGCUUGAUGUACAUGAAUCAAAAUCCCAUUGCUUGGCAACGGAGAAUUUCCAACGUUUCAAGUGUUGGUACAUAUAUAGUGUCAAUAAUAACAUUAUAUGUAUAUAUAAUUAUAUAUUGCUAGCAAUUAAAUUAAUGCUCCAUGUAAAGGCGAUAAUUAUGUAUUUCAAGUGAACGAAAAACAACACGAUAUACUCACGAGAGGAAGAAAUCAUAUAUUAGAUCAAAACUGUUGGAUUACAAUAGUGGAUAUUACAGGAGGAACAUCAUCCAAAUGUGAUGCAUAAUCUAACAAUUUUCUUGACAGUGAAACUUAAACUGAAAAUAUCCAUCUUAACUAAGGAACAACAUCCGACAGGAACGUCAUCCCUACAACAUAACUAAAACUAAAUGCAUCCGUCAUCAUCAUCAUGAAACGGAUCAUCGACAUCAUCAUUGCAGUAUAAUCCCCACGCUCCCAUAUACUCAUCCAUUUAUCUUUUGAAUCUACAAACAAGAAAACAAAACUGAACUGUUAACACACAAUACCUUGACAUGAUGCAAGUAGUAAUAUAGGCAAAUAUUAGUCACGUACAAAGGUUGAAGGCCAUGCAAGCUUUUAUUUUUAUGCAUUACCGAGAGUAUUGCAGUUUUGCGACUUCAUACCAAAUAUUAAGUUUGCACUAGUGCCAUAUCGACAUGCACUACCCAGAAUUCAUUUCUAAUUUCAGGACCAUCAAGUUUAAAUUUAGGAUCAGAACUUACCAUUGUAUCUAGAGCUACGCCCUUGUUAUGAUUUUUCGGGCUCUUCAAGAAUACUUUAGUUCCUGCCUGUUAGAAAAAAUAAAAGUUGCCAUAUGAGAAGACAGAAACAAAACAGGGGAACAUAUGAAAUGAAUUUGAGCACAACAGAUAGUUCAUUGGCAUCCAUCCAACUCUGGGAACCACUUCGAGCACUCUUACAGCAUGCAUUAGCACCUUAUGUUGUUUUUGUAGUCUGGACAACAGACUGAUAGCAAAGAAGUAAUAAACAACUAAAGAAGCCACAAAUAGUCUAAACAAAAUUUGUAUGUGAUUAUGAAAGGAUACCGCUUGUUUGCAACAGAAGUUUUUUCUCCCUGACAUGCACUAACAUUCUUAUUUUUAACAGCAUUUAGCAAGACGACUAGUAGAUACAUAACCAUUGGAGCAACAUAUUUUGAACAUAUUGUAUAUGGGAAUGGAUAUAUACCUUAUCUGCAGCAGAAUCUAUUUCCCUUCGCCCGUGCACUGAAAUUCUUGUCCAUUACAUAUCUGCUGCAACAUGACAAUGACCAAAAGUUUAAAUAAAUUAUGUAAAAGACAAUAUUCUGUGGUCCUACUCGACCUUAUGACAGUCAUCCCCACAGAUGUGAAGAUGAUUAAUUCAGAUUUCAGCUCAAACAAUCAUAUUUUGAAGUAAUUUCUACCCCUACAAUCAAUAAAAAUAAGUCUUACCACAUUUGUUCCUUAUCAAAUCAAAAUAGCAACUCAUUUAGUACUGAGUAGGUACUGGGAAUAAAUCAAGCUAUUCCUAUUUCAUAGUGAAAACGAUGAACUAAGACAUGAAACCGUUACUCUAAAAUGUAAAUUUGCAAGGGGUCCAUUAUUUUGUUCAUCAGGUGUAUAAGAAAAAGAGCAAGUAACAAAAUGAAACUCCAUAUAGCAGCUCUUUCAAUGACCCCAUGCUUUUUAGUUUUUUUUCUAUGCUGGGAACAUUACUAUGAAUAAAAUGCAGUUAUCUUUCGAUACUAGUAAUUUAACUGUUGAUCUAUUUCAGUUGCUUAGGGAAGAUGAACUUGUACUUGUGUGGUAUGAUGUUUAACUUGGUUUUUGCAGGGGGGAACACAUGUUCAGGUUUAACACUAUCCACGGAUAGUAAGAGGAUCAUAAGCUCAAGGACACCCAAGUUCAUUCUCUUUGGUGUUAAGGAGGUUUCCUUCAUGCACAAGCAUUAUAGCUAGGCUGAUGAGAUUUUCAAGUUGGAACUGUGAGGAGAUCCCAUGGGCCAAGGCUGAGUGUGUUGCAGAGUAUACAUGUGUUUUCACUAUCGUGCACAUGGUUGUUCACUAACAUUUAUUUUGAGAACAAGUGUGUCGUUUUGUAGACUGGACUUGUAGUUGUGCUGCUGCAGAUCAUGUUCUGAUAUUCAUAAUAAAAUUAACAUUUUUCAUUUUAUUAGGGCCUCACUAGUCGACAUGAUACUUACUGCAAUUUGUCCAUAGGUACGACCAAGAUAACACUUGUUCUAGUCACUCCAUCGUCCAUUUUCUACAAAUGACACCCCAGCCAGAAUACAAUAUGAUAGCAAUAAGAAAAUAACAAGGUCACAAAUGUCUGCACACACACGAAGAAAGAAAGAAAGAAACUAUGCUAAGAACUAACCCAACUGUACUACCCAACUAGAAUAGGAUAGUCAGAAUUGGAGGUCCAUAAAGAAAGUCUAUGAAGAGAUUGAACUCACCAAGGUAGUAAUGGUGCAGAACUACAUUGAAAUAUUGCACGCGUCCACACCUGAAACCUUAAUAGUUACUAGAUUUAAGCCACCUCUUAUGUUCAGUAAACCUAGGAACACCAAAACAAGGAGGCGUCAGGGCACUAUAAUGAAUAAAACCUAAAAAGCUAAUCUCAAUCAAGUAGGGAACGUGUAAGCUUAUAGAAGAAGAAUCUGAAACAACCCCCUCUAUCUCAAGGCCCCCAAAAUUGUGAACCAAUAACAGAGGACAGCUAUCAAACACUUGGUGUGCACUAGCAAAUUCACACAAGAGAAGAGUACUUAGAAAACAUAUAAGGGACAGAUCUGAACCAAGGGGGGAGGAGGCAAAAUCGUCAAGUCGUACUAGUAUUUACCUUGUGUUUCUAUGAAUCGGGGGUGGGGACUGAUCUGCUUUCCAUCCCAGUUGCUGAACAAGACAUGCCUCUUGUGCCCUCAACCUCAAAUCCUCAAUGAAUCGGCGGCGGCGGGGUCAGCUACGAGGUUCAGGAGGGAGGGCAGGCCAUGAUCGAUCUCCUCAAGAUAGAGAUCCUACGAGACGAGGAAGGGAACUGUGUUGAUAAGAUAUGGGGGAGGGGGAGGGGGAGGUUUCCGAUUUGACCUCCUCGCGAUGCCAGAUUUUGGUCUGCGUUCUUGAUUCGUAUGGCG
RNAcentral lists this long non-coding RNA (32482 nucleotides) under Triticum aestivum (bread wheat). Its description in RNAcentral is "long non-coding RNA (TAES_LNC024203)". The stretch from base 12029 to 12084 matches the Rfam family "tRNA", at positions 10 to 63 of the family's 71-position model. Lineage: Eukaryota; Viridiplantae; Streptophyta; Magnoliopsida; Poales; Poaceae. The record is from RNAcentral.